This 104-nucleotide ribosomal RNA is filed under the name uncultured bacterium. RNAcentral's name for it is "partial 16S ribosomal RNA". It matches the Rfam family "Bacterial small subunit ribosomal RNA", at positions 1379 to 1482 of the family's 1533-position model. The record is from RNAcentral.
CCUUGUACACACCGCCCGUCACACCAUGGGAGUUGGCUUUACCCGAAGCCGGUGCGCUAACCGCAAGGAGGCAGCCGUCCACGGUAAGGUCAGCGACUGGGGUG